Macaca fascicularis (crab-eating macaque) is the source of this 2480-nucleotide long non-coding RNA. The record is from Ensembl. NCBI's taxonomy places the organism in Eukaryota, Metazoa, Chordata, Mammalia, Primates, Cercopithecidae.
UCCUCAGCCUCUCCCGGAGAGGUGCCUGCCGGUGCUGCCCUGGGCCACACCAGGUUUUGCUGCAGAGAAUGCAACUUCUCCCCACUUCGGAGACCGCGACUUGGUGUGUCUUGAUUGUUGAGCUGCUUGUGCAGUUGCUUGUUCUGCUAGAGAUUAUAGCAUUUCUUUCGUCUUCCCAGCUCCUGCAGUGAGGUGAGGAUGCCCCUGUUCUGAGGAGCCUCGGGUAGGGUGCUGGGGCUUGUCUGAUUCAGAGUUGGAGCUGAAAUGAAUCCGUUAUACAGAGAAGAAAGCUGAGUCCCCGCCAAGGUCAAGUGACUGACACAGACCCACAUAGCUGGUCCAGACUUAAGGUUCUGGAUCCCGGGUCCAUUCAUCCCAUUAUUCCCCAACCUUUCCUGUUGCUGUGGCAACAACAAAAGGGGCCAGAGAGGGUUAAUCCUAGUACUUUCCAUGCAGCCGCCGUGUAACCUACUGCACCCAGCACCCUACACGCAUGGAUUCUUGUCUGUGCAUUACAGCUGUGGCCCAGAAUGGAUGGUUCUGUUGUCUGACCCCAGAGUCCCUGAGUGUCCCACAAAACUAUCCUGUUCCUUUGGAUUUUCUUGAUCUCUUUUUGCAUCACCACAGGUUUCUUUGACUCCAGAAACAGCCCAUUCGUGUCAACCAAAAUUCUAAAUUCAGCACCUCAGAAGUAUGACCAGCCGGACAGAACUGAACCUAAGUCCCACUGGCCCCUACUUUUAGUGGACAAAAAGGUCUCACGGGCUCCGUCUCUCCCAGGAAUCUGAGGAGUUCAGAGAUCAGGAGAGGGGCUCGCACACAGCAAAGCCUGGCCUGGCAGAGAGCGGGUGGGCGAGCCUCACCCUGAGAAGGCGUUUCUUCCUCUUUAUGGCCGUGGUCCUUUUUCAUGUUAGAUGCUUUGGUCUCCCAGGUGUAUGGGGACCCGGGACCCGUGGGUUUUGGAGUGCUUGUCAUGACUAGGGCCAGCUUUGGGGACAGGGUGGGGAUGACUACUCCCAGGUUCUCAAGAGGAAAAAAGUUCUGUACGUUUCAGAACUGCAAUAGAUCUGUUAUCAGCUCCACGCACUGCAAAACGCAAGUUCCUUUCCUAUUUGAUCUGACAGUGAAAAAAUUCACGGAUGUUUUAUUGGAAGGUUAGAAAAUAAAAAAGAACCCCUUCUCAGUCCAGGUAGUCUGCCCCCCAUCACCUUGGCGUGUCUGCAGCUGUGCUGGGCCUCGGCUUGUGGGUGGAUGAGGAGACAAGGCUCAGCGUGGAGCAGGGGGAGGCUGGGAGGCCUUUGCUCUGCAGCCCCACCCACAGGCUCAGCAGGGUGGGCCCCUGUGCUAACACUCCCCCCCACCCUGCCCCUCAGUUCUUGUUUCCAUCUACCUUCGUCCCUCUCACCAGUCCCAACGCAGAGGGCCAGGUUUGCUUUACUUUUCUUAACGACCUGUCUUUUUCUAGUUAGGAAAAAUAACACUUAUUUACUACCUCUUGUACAGUUUGGAAAUACAUCAAAUAUAUACAAAAAAAUUAAAUCUGGCUGGAUGUGGUGGCUUGUGCCUAUAAUCCCAGCACUUUGGUAGACCGAGGCAGGCAGUUCACCUGGCUGUUGGUCAGGAGUUCAAGACCAGUCUGGCAAAUGUAAUGAAACAACGUCUCUACUAAAAAUACAAAAAUUAGCCAGGUGUGGUGGCAGGUGCCUGUAAUCCCAACUACUCAGGAGGCUGAGGCAGGAGAAUUGCUUGAACCCAGGAGGUGGAGGUUGCGGUGAGCCGAGAUCGAGCCAUUGCACUUCAGCCUGGGUGACAGAGCGAGACUCCGUCUCAAGAAAGAAAAAAAAAUUAAAUAAGCCCAGAAUCCCACAAGGCAGAGGUCUCCCCAGUAAUCCCCAGCUGCGGAGGCUGUGUGCCUCACUUGUGUGCCAACUGAUGACCUCCUCAGCACAACCAGUUAAACCUUUAUUUAUUUCAGCUUUUUUCUUUCUUUAUAAAGCUUUUUCCCCCUUCACUGUGAAGAUAGCAUGCUCAUUGGAGACAAUUUGGAAAGCACAGAAAGAUAUUUUCAUGUUUCUUUAAGCAAAGAGAGGACAUUUAUUCCCAUCUCCCCAAGGUGACUGCCAUGAGCAGUUUGGAGUAGCUCCUGGUCUUUGUGGACUUUUGAAAAAGCGUAUGUUCUCCAGGCGCGGUGGCUCACACCUGUAAUCCCAGCUCUUUGGGAGGCCAAGGCGGGCAGAUCACAAGGUCAGAUCAAGACCAGCCUGGCCAACAUGGUGAAACCCCGUCUCUACUAAAGAUACAAAAAUUAGCUGGACACGAUGGCAUGCACCUGUAAUCCCAGCUACUCUGGAGGCUGAGGCAGGAGAAUCACUUGAACCUGGGAGGCAGAGGCUGCAGUGAGCCAAGAUUGCACCACUGCACUCCAGCCUGGGCAACAGAGCAAGACUCUGGCUCAAAAAAAAAAAAAAAAAAAAAAAAAA